Molecule: long non-coding RNA, 5466 nt
Filed under: Nicotiana benthamiana
Lineage: Eukaryota; Viridiplantae; Streptophyta; Magnoliopsida; Solanales; Solanaceae
Description: long non-coding RNA (NBEN_LNC030836)
Source: RNAcentral
GCUCUCUAUAGCGACAAAUCGGCUUUGGGAUUUUCAUUUCCCUUCGAGUGUAAAAAUGUUGUGUUUGCGUGAGUUUCCUCUGACAUCCGAUUCACUAUCAACAAUUGGAAUACUGUCCAACCUUGAAGAGCUGUACCUUAAAGACACAAUCAUCGAGGGGGAAGAAUGGAACAUGGGGGAGGAAGACACCUUCCAGAAUCUCAAAUGUUUGACAUUGCAGCGAGUGAAUCUUGCUAAGUGGGAGGUUAGAGAGGAAUCCUUUCCUGUGCUUGAGAAAUUACGACAGCGGGAUUGUCGUUAGCUUGAGGAGAUUCAGCCAAGUUUCGGGGAUAUUUGUUCAUUAAAAAGUAUCGAACUGAAGUGGAGCCCUCAACUUGUAGAAUCUGCUCUGAAGAUUAAGCAAGAUGUUGAAGAUAUGAUGGGGGAUAUUCAGGUCCUUGUUUAUAACUGAUCAAGUUUUGAGCAUUUUUACCUUGGGAAAAUAGGUGAGUACAGACGAAUUUAUUACCUCCUCAUUUUCAGUAUAAGUGGCAGAGUUUGACCAGUGUAAUUUUCUUUUGCAGAGUUUGACGAGUUGUUUGCAUAUCAUAUGUUACUGCUCAAGUCCAAAAACAUAUGAUGGAAUAAUUCUUUUGGAAGUUGAUUUGGAGGAUAGCAAGAAGUGAAACAAAAGGUGGGCAACCUCUGUACUAUAUGAAAGUUAUCUUAUACCUCAGAUUUUUCAAGUUUUUAUAUAUCUUUCAACAAAUACCUUCACAAUCAGCUCAUCGGCGCAUAGAGUUUUAGUUGUGAUGCAGGCUGGUGGAAUUCACACGCACCAAGAAUCAGCCCAUCGACGCAUUUGGAGUUGGAGGCUGCUGUAUCAUGAUCGAGAUGUGAAUUCAAUUUAAGUCAGAGUGUAUAUAAUAUAGGCAAGUACAGUGAUGAAGAAGUUGUGAAUACAAUGCCAUUCUCCUCAUCUCUUUCACCAAUCUUUCAAAUGCUACCCACUGAGGGCUCAAAUUUUUAAAAGCAGAAUAAUGGGUGUAAUGCCACUUCCAUUAUUACUAUUCAGCACUAUGUGGGAUUAUACUAGGUCAAAAUAAUUUGAAUUCCUUUAUUUUCCGUAAAGAAGAGGACGUGAUGAGGGUUAUAGUAUUAAGUUAUGACAAUUUAUGUGAUCCCUUAAAGUCGUGCUUGGUUCACCUUGCAUGUUUUCCGGAGGACGAAGUAAUUCCUGUCCGUAAUUUGGAAAUUUUAUGGCCUGCUGAAGGAUUUUUGGAGCAGAGAGAGAAGAAUAGUGUGGAAGAAGUGGUUGCGAUUUAUCUGGAUAAUUUAAUUUCCAGUAGCUUGGUAAUUUCUUUCGAUAAAAUAGGUGACAAUCGGACUUGCCAAAUUCAUGAUCUUGUGCAUGAGUUUUGUUUGAUAAAAGCAAGAGAGGAAAAGUUAUUUGACUUGAUAAGUUCAAGUGCUCCAUCAUCAUCUUCUUCAGAUUUGAUGCCACGUCAAAUGAACAUUGCAUAUAGUAAGUGGCAUAACAACAGGCAUUCUGGUAAACACCUUUAUUCUUUGAGGAUAACUGGACACAAGUUUGGUGACAAUAGUCUUAAUGAUAUAUGUCACCUAAGACACUUGAGGCUUCUUAGAGUGUUGCAACUGGAUGACUCUUCAAUUCUGUUGAGUGAUUCUUUGUUGAAUGAAAUAUGCAGACUGGUUCAUUUGAGAUACUUAGAGAUUCGCACAGAAGUUAAAUCUCUGCCUUCGUCGUUUUCAAAUCUCUUGAAUCUGGAAACUCUGUGGGUGAAUAAAUAUGGACCACCCAUGGUAUUAUUACCAACAAUUUGGAAUCUUAUAAAGUUGCGAGUGCUGGCUAUAUAUAAAUGUUUCUUCUUUGUUUUGUAUAAGAAUGAGUCAAUACUGGUUGCAGAGAACUCAAAGUCAGAGAGCUUGAGAUUAUUACGGGGACUCGAAGUUUCCUAUUCAAAAGACACGGAGGAUAUUUUCAAAAGGUUUCCCAAUCUUCACAAGCUUCGAUUUGAUCUCAAGGAAUCAUGGGAUUGUUCAACAGGGCGAUAUCGGUUCCCGAAAUUGGACUUCUUAAAUGAACUAGAAUCUCUCGAAGUAACUUUUAUAAGUUCAAAUUCAAAUGAUAGUGCGCUCUCUAUAGCGACAAAUCGGCUUUGGGAUUUUCAUUUCCCUUCGAGUGUAAAAAUGUUGUGUUUGCGUGAGUUUCCUCUGACAUCCGAUUCACUAUCAACAAUUGGAAUACUGUCCAACCUUGAAGAGCUGUACCUUAAAGACACAAUCAUCGAGGGGGAAGAAUGGAACAUGGGGGAGGAAGACACCUUCCAGAAUCUCAAAUGUUUGACAUUGCAGCGAGUGAAUCUUGCUAAGUGGGAGGUUAGAGAGGAAUCCUUUCCUGUGCUUGAGAAAUUACGACAGCGGGAUUGUCGUUAGCUUGAGGAGAUUCAGCCAAGUUUCGGGGAUAUUUGUUCAUUAAAAAGUAUCGAACUGAAGUGGAGCCCUCAACUUGUAGAAUCUGCUCUGAAGAUUAAGCAAGAUGUUGAAGAUAUGAUGGGGGAUAUUCAGGUCCUUGUUUAUAACUGAUCAAGUUUUGAGCAUUUUUACCUUGGGAAAAUAGGUGAGUACAGACGAAUUUAUUACCUCCUCAUUUUCAGUAUAAGUGGCAGAGUUUGACCAGUGUAAUUUUCUUUUGCAGAGUUUGACGAGUUGUUUGCAUAUCAUAUGUUACUGCUCAAGUCCAAAAACAUAUGAUGGAAUAAUUCUUUAGGAAGUUGAUUUGGAGGAUUGCAAGAAGUGAAACAAAAGGUGGGCAACCUCUGUACUAUAUGAAAGUUAUCUUAUAUCUCAGAUUUUUCAAGUUUUUAUAUAUCUUUCAACAAAUACCUUCACAAUCAGCUCAUCGGCGCAUAGAGUUUUAGUUGUGAUGCAGGCUGGUGGAAUUUGGACAAGAGGGGUUGCUCUGAUGGUAAGAAACCCCCACUUCCAACCGAGAGGUUGUGAGUUCGAGUCUCCGAAAGAGCAAGGUGGGAAGUUUCUUGGAGGGAAAGAUGCUGGGGGUCUAUUUGGAAACAGCCUCUCUACCCCAGGGUAGAGGUAAGGUCUGAGUACAUACUACCCUCCCCAGACCCCACUAUGUGGGAUUAUACUAGGUCAAAAUAAUUUGAAUUCCUUUAUUUUCCGAAAAGAAGAGGACAUGAUGAGGGUUAUAGCAUUAAGUUAUUACAAUUUACGUGAUCCCUUGAAGUCGUGCUUGAUUCACCUUGCAAGUAUUCCGAAGGACGAAGUAAUUCCAAUCCGUAAUUUGGAAAUUUUAUGGCCUGCUGAAGGAUUUUUGGAGCAGAGAGAGAAGAAGAGUGUGGAAGAAGUGGUUGCGAUUUAUCUGGAUAAUUUAAUUUCCAGUAGCUUGGUAAUUUCUUUCGAUAAAAUAGGUGACGAUCAGACUUGCCAAAUUCAUGAUCUUGUGCAUGAGUUUUGUUUGAUAAAAGCAAGAGAGGAAAAGUUAUUUGACUUGAUAAGUUCAAGUGCUCCAUCAUCAUCUUCUUCAGAUUUGAUGCCACGUCAAAUGAACAUUGCAUAUAGUAAGUGGCAUAACAACAGGCAUUCUGGUAAACACCUUUAUUCUUUGAGGAUAACUGGACACAAGUUUGGUGACAAUAGUCUUAAUGAUAUAUGUCACCUAAGACACUUGAGGCUUCUUAGAGUGUUGCAACUGGAUGACUCUUCAAUUCUGUUGAGUGAUUCUUUGUUGAAUGAAAUAUGCAGACUGGUUCAUUUGAGAUACUUAGAGAUUCGCACAGAAGUUAAAUCUCUGCCUUCGUCGUUUUCAAAUCUCUUGAAUCUGGAAACUCUGUGGGUGAAUAAAUAUGGACCACCCAUGGUAUUAUUACCAACAAUUUGGAAUCUUAUAAAGUUGCGAGUGCUGGCUAUAUAUAAAUGUUUCUUCUUUGUUUUGUAUAAGAAUGAGUCAAUACUGGUUGCAGAGAACUCAAAGUCAGAGAGCUUGAGAUUAUUACGGGGACUCGAAGUUUCCUAUUCAAAAGACACAGAGGAUAUUUUCAAAAGGUUUCCCAAUCUUCACAAGCUUCGAUUUGAUCUCAAGGAAUCAUGGGAUUGUUCAAGAGGGCGAUAUCGGUUCCCGAAAUUGGACUUCUUAAAUGAACUAGAAUCUCUCGAAGUAACUUUUAUAAGUUCAAAUUCAAAUGAUAGUGCGCUCUCUAUAGCGACAAAUCGGCUUUGGGAUUUUCAUUUCCCUUCGAGUGUAAAAAUGUUGUGUUUGCGUGAGUUUCCUCUGACAUCCGAUUCACUAUCAACAAUUGGAAUACUGUCCAACCUUGAAGAGCUGUACCUUAAAGACACAAUCAUCGAGGGGGAAGAAUGGAACAUGGGGGAGGAAGACACCUUCCAGAAUCUCAAAUGUUUGACAUUGCAGCGAGUGAAUCUUGCUAAGUGGGAGGUUAGAGAGGAAUCCUUUCCUGUGCUUGAGAAAUUACGACAGCGGGAUUGUCGUUAGCUUGAGGAGAUUCAGCCAAGUUUCGGGGAUAUUUGUUCAUUAAAAAGUAUCGAACUGAAGUGGAGCCCUCAACUUGUAGAAUCUGCUCUGAAGAUUAAGCAAGAUGUUGAAGAUAUGAUGGGGGAUAUUCAGGUCCUUGUUUAUAACUGAUCAAGUUUUGAGCAUUUUUACCUUGGGAAAAUAGGUGAGUACAGACGAAUUUAUUACCUCCUCAUUUUCAGUAUAAGUGGCAGAGUUUGACCAGUGUAAUUUUCUUUUGCAGAGUUUGACGAGUUGUUUGCAUAUCAUAUGUUACUGCUCAAGUCCAAAAACAUAUGAUGGAAUAAUUCUUUAGGAAGUUGAUUUGGAGGAUGACAUAUGAUGGAAUAAUUCUUUAGGAAGUGGAUUUGGAGGAUAGCAAGAAGUGAAACAAAAGGUGGGCAACCUCUGUACUAUAUGAAAGUUAUCUUAUACCUCAGAUUUUUCAAGUUUUUAUAUAUCUUUCAACAAAUACCUUCACAAUCAGCUCAUCGGCGCAUAGAGUUUUAGUUGUGAUGCAGGCUGGUGGAAUUCACACGCACCAAGAAUCAGCCCAUCGACGCAUUUGGAGUUGGAGGCUGCUGUAUCAUGAUCGAGAUGUGAAUUCAAUUUAAGUCAGAGUGUAUAUAAUAUAGGCAAGUACAGUGAUGAAGAAGUUGUGAAUACAAUGCCAUUCUCCUCAUCUCUUUCACCAAUCUUUCAAAUGCUACCCACUGAGGGCUCAAAUUUUUAAAAGCAGAAUAAUGGGUGUAAUGCCACUUCCAUUAUUACUAUUCAAAUUUGUACUGCUUUCUACCAGCAUAUGCUAUUUAUUGUAACUUUUACCUACUAUAUGCGACAAGAGGGGUUGCUCUGAUGGUAAUCAACCCCUACUUUCAAUCGAGAGGUUGUGAGUUCGAGUUUCCCCAAGAGCAAGGUGGGAAGUUCUUGGAGGG